CAGUAGCCGCGGGAAUACGUAGGUGGCAGGCGUUGUCCGGAAUUAUUGGGCGUAAAGGGCUCGCAGGCGGUUUCUUAAGUCUGAUGUGAAAGCCCCCGGCUCAACCGGGGAGGGUCAUUGGAAACUGGGAAACUUGAGUGCAGAAGAGGAGAGUGGAAUUCCACGUGUAGCGGUGAAAUGCGUAGAGAUGUGGAGGAACACCAGUGGCGAAGGCGACUCUCUGGUCUGUAACUGACGCUGAGGAGCGAAAGCGUGGGAAGCGAACAGGAUUAGAUACCCCCGUAGUCCCUGUCUCUUAUAU
This 301-nucleotide ribosomal RNA is filed under the name uncultured bacterium. RNAcentral's name for it is "partial 16S ribosomal RNA". It matches the Rfam family "Bacterial small subunit ribosomal RNA", at positions 509 to 809 of the family's 1533-position model. The record is from RNAcentral.